CCCUUUGUGCCUCUCCCCCCACCCCAGCAGUGGGAGCUGGGGGUGCACAAGGAGCUGGGAGGGGACACAGCCAGGACAGCCAACCCUAGUGACCCAAGGGACAUCCCACAACAUAUGGGGUCAUGCUCAGCAUGUAGAGGAUUUACUACAGCAGGAACCACUCCGGAGUGGAGAACCACAGUGGAGGACAAGUGAUACAAGAAGCAGUGCAGAUACUACGAGGCAUUGCUACUGGGCUAACAAGGAAGAAGCACCUGACCACUGUUGGACCCUUCUUAAAUCUUAACCAACUUGGAAGAACAGCAACUUCAACAUGGGAAGGCCAAAGUACUGUAUUUUAUUUUAGAUCAGUGAAAUUAUGGGAUAUAGACUUUUUUAUUACUUUACAUGAUUCCGUUGUGCAUCGAGCUGUCCAUGAAGCAUUUACUACCAAUAAAACAAGGCACACAGUUUUGCAUUUUUUUGAGGCAGAAACAGAGCAAUUGAGCCUUCAUUCAACUCUUUGCUGCAGAGGGGGAUGCUCAAGAUGGAAUGACAGCUCUGUGAAGCAAGAAAUCAUCAAAAGGAGAUCAAUGAUUUUUUUUCUCUGCAAUGAGAAAGGGGUACAGAUAUCACCUUGUACAGGAGGGUGCUUCCUGAUCAGAAGUGAUAUGUAGACAAGGCAAAUUUAAAGUAUUUUACAAAAAACAUUUUUCUCAUAAAAUAAUCUUGGAAUGAACCUAUGCAGAAUCCUGACAUGAACACGAAGUAUGCAUUAAGUAACUUGUAGCUUGGUCAAAGAAAAAAUGGCAGGGGGGAGAUGGGGAACACAUGACAGCUGUUAAUUUGUACUUACUUUUUGUACCUGGUAAUGAUUGUAAUAAAAAAAAAAAAGAACACUACAGAUUCUGUACAGUCUCCAAGGAUUAUCUUUAUAAUUUUCAUAGAUUAGACAUGUUGGGGCUUUUUUUUUUCAGUCUAUGCUUGCUAUGAACUAGAUAAAUACCAAACACUGAGCAAUACCUAGUAAACAACAGUAAUGAAUAAUAAUAUUAAUGCAUAGUAAAUACUAAAGAACAUAAUGGUUCUGAUUUAAGUUUUUUUUAAAUUCAUUUAAAAUGAAAGACUUUUGUAGAUCGCAUAUAAAAAUUAAGUUACUAAUAAAGGCUGGAUCCCUCUUCAUAUGAUAAAAUAUAUUGUCCUUUCAGGACAUCCAGAAAGUGAGUUGUGCCUCACCACAGCAACAGAAUCUCAUAAAGAAGCUUGAAUUAUUUUGUUAAUAAGUACUAAUAAAUUCACACUAAGAAAGAAAGGCUAAGGAAGAGGAAAGAAAUUAAACUUUCAGUAAACUUCUUUUCACUUUCAGCUCCAAAAUAAUGUGCUUAGUGCUAACAAAAACAUACAGCUACAAGCAACCUCCAUGUUUCCCUCCAGAGCAGUUGUGAGCAGUUCAUAAAUUCAGAUGUGUAAUUGCACAAAUACAAGGUUUUUCCUUUAUGUAUUUAUGUACAAUAAAGUUGACUAGACUUUAAAUAUCCUUGCCAAGUGCCUGCCCAGGUAGGAGUUAGAACUGCUAACAACUAUUUUAGACAAAUUUGGCUAGAAUGAAUCAGCUAAGUGCAACAAAAUAUUAGAUUUCCCAGUUUUCAUGCCUAGCCCAGAGUUCCUACACUAGUUUUUAGCAGACAGGUUUGAAUAUCUAGGUCUGUGUUUCCACUUUUGCACAUAAUUCCACUAUUUUGCCCUGACUUCAAAUAACAGACCACCCUUUCUGCAAGAAUGACCUGAACCCACAAAAAUGGCACCCACACACUCAAUGACUAAAAUCAGUAUAGUUUUCUCCUUUAUAUAUUAAGUUUUAAAAGACUUUGAAAACAAUCUUGUAGAGUGAAAAUCCAUGUGAAUGUUUACAAUACAGUUUUAUCAAUUUAUAUGCCAUAUUUUCUGCCAAAUAGAAGCUUUUUUAUUUAAACAAAAGGGGCAAUUAGUGAUUGUGGUCUCAGUUUCCUAGGACACUGCUAAGUGUCCUAAGAAAAAGCAAAGCACUUUCUGAAUAGAUUUUAAAGUCAUAAAGGAGCAAA
Molecule: long non-coding RNA, 2060 nt
Organism: Passer domesticus (house sparrow)
Lineage: Eukaryota; Metazoa; Chordata; Aves; Passeriformes; Passeridae
Exons: 4
Source: RefSeq, a predicted model, not a curated record